GAGUGGAAAGCAAGAGAGAAGCUUGGCCGCGCUUGAGACCCGGCUUCCCGACGUCCAUAUUUCCGGUGCCAGCCCCUGAUCUUUGGCAGGAACAAGUGGUGUUAUUCGACAUAACGCUUUAGCUUUUCCGGAGAAGUCAAAAAUCGCGUAACUCUUUUCCGGCUAUGUCCGAAGUGGUGAACGAUCUCGCAUCACCGAUGGCGACCACACAAGGUGCGAAUCCAUCAAAUUCCCCGGUGCUGAAUCACGUGCAGUGAAUCGCGAAGACUUGAGUUCGAAAGCCACGGCCAACUAUGAAGCUUCCCAAAAUGAUCACAUCCUAAGUAGAGGCAUGCAAACAGUGAAGGUCAAUAAAAACGGGCGACCGCUGUUUUACGCCGCACUAAACGGUGAUUGGAAGGCUGUCAAGAAAAUCCUCGAUGAUGAUCGCGAAGCAAUGACGACCGAACUUUUGACCCGAGGAGAUGCGGCCUAUUGUGUGCUCCAUGUUGCAGUUAUUGCCGCACAAGACCAAUUGGUAGAGAACCUGGUCAAGCGCAUCCCCCCAGAAUGUAAAGAUGAAAUGGCCGGGAAGGCCCUCAUUUUUGCCGCCCGGGCAGGGAGAUUAAGGAUGGUAAAAGUAUUAACAGACCAAAUUGAUACCAAAGAUCGAUAUAUACCAAAAUCCCUGGAAGAAGCUAUGGUGUUUGCUCCUAUGCAAAAGGAGGUCAUCUGGUACUUGGCCAGGCGUACAACAUCCGGCAUCA
Long non-coding RNA from Eucalyptus grandis, 746 nucleotides. RefSeq lists it as uncharacterized. NCBI's taxonomy places the organism in Eukaryota, Viridiplantae, Streptophyta, Magnoliopsida, Myrtales, Myrtaceae. The record is from RefSeq and is a predicted model, not a curated record. The transcript has 4 exons.